GCAGAUAUCUCCUCAACCGGGACAACUAUGAUAAGAUGUUCCCAAAAGCCAAUCACUUCAGAAACUCUUGUGCUCGUGUCGAGUCUUCGAAGGAUUCAGGAGUAGUGCACAUUAGUGCAGCAUACUUGGUUGACAUGUUUUUAGAUUUCGUUAGUUCUAUAACUCGUACUUUUCAUUAUUUCCUAUAUACUGACAUACAAAAUUUAAAAUGCUGCAAAGAUUAAAGAAGUUUAAGAAAAACCUGCUUCGUUUUGCAGAAUAAAUGGGAAGACGUCUUUCCUACAAUCAUAACAAAAGCAAGGACAAUUGAAGUUCUCGAAAGUGGAAUGAUAGGAAAUCGGAGUGGUUGCUUGCAGUUGGUACAUAAAAAGCAAUUGUUUGGUUAAGUAUACUAAUUAUUUACCUAUAUCUUUUCACAAUUAUUCAUACAUUUCAAAUUUUUUGAUGCAGAUGUAUGAAGAAAUGCACAUUCUCUCACCUUUGGUACUGCCGCGGGAUUUCUACUUUCUUCGCCAUUGUCAGCAAAUUGAGCUAGGAACUUGGGUCAUCACUGAUGUCUCCUAUAACUUCGCAAAAGGAAGUUUUGCGAGACAGCCUCGAUCUUGGAGGCUACCUUCUGGAUGCAUGAUAGAAGACAUGCAUAACGGAUACUCCAAGGUUUGCUUCAUCUAAUCUUCAACCAUAUAAAUUGGUCCAUAUGAUAAAUUAGAGCAGAGAUAUGCUUGCAAUCUAAUGGGGAAAAGCCAGGAGAAUACCUGGAGCUAUAUAUACUUUAGCAUCAAUUAUCAAUGGUUACUUAGAAUACAUAUCAACAUCACAAGUAGAUAGUACACGAUUAUUAUUUUCAUGGCAUUACAUUCUUCAUCAAAAAGCAUUCAUGUACAAUAUUUCUGGUUUGGUUUUAGUUGGUAGAAUCGUUUUUAAGUAUUGAGUUGGAAAAUUAUAGAUUACUUGGAUUGAGCAUAUGGCGGUUGACGACAAGACACAAACUCAUUGGCUCUAUAGAGAUCUAAUUUGUAGAAGUGUUGCAUAUGGAGCUGAGAGAUGGAUUGUUACUCUUCAAAAGAUGUGUGAGAGAUUCCAUUGUUUAAUGAACGGUUGUGUGUUUGGAGGAGGUAAGUUUUCAUCAAUCACCUCCUAUGUUUUCCAAAACAAGAAAGUAAUAAUACAAAGAUGGCAAGAGGAGCCUAAUUUUGAGUUUUGAUGAACAUGUUUUCCAUUUUUUAGUGGUUACUUUGCCUGAAGGCAAGAGAAGCUUAAUGAAGCUUUCCCAGAGGAUGGUAAAGAACUUUUGUGGAAUGUUGAGCAUGGCGGGAAAUCUUGACCCCCCCCAAUUAUCAGAAGUUGACAAUACUGGGAUUCAAGUCUCUGUUCAUACAAGCACAGAAAUAGGACAACCGCAUGGCACGAUCGUCAGUGUUGCUACUUCUUUCUGGCUUCCUUUGUCGACGCAAAUGAUCUUUAACUUCUUCAAAGAUGAGAAAACAAGAGUUCAGGUUUAUAUAUAUCUUGAUUUAUCAGUAAUAUUAAAGGUUGAAAUAUGACCUUACAAGUAGUAAUGCCCUAUUUGAUUUUUCUCAGUGGGAUGUUCUCUCUAAUGGAAAUCCAGUGCAUGAGAUUGCCUACAUUUCAACAGGAACUCAUCCUGAAAAUCGUAUAUCCAUCAUUCGGGUAAUUUUCUUUCCUUCUUCAACUUUUACUUGCACAAAUCUUUUUUGACAAGAAAAGUCCAGAAACAAGAGUUGAACUAUUGCUAGUUUGAAGUUUGAGGAAAACAUAUCAGUCUUAUGGUGUUCAUUUUAACUAAGUUAAGUUUAAUGCCUCAUAAACAGUUUAGGUUAAUUGUUUGGAAUGGUUUGUAUUGAGCAGCCUUUCACCCCGACGGAGGACAACAUGUUGAUUCUUCAAGAGUGCUACAUAGACCCUCUUGGAUCCUUUAUCAUAUAUGCUCCGGUUGACAUGCAAAUUCUCAAUGUAGCAGUAAGUGGUGAAGACUCUUCUAACAUGUCCAUACUCCCAUCGGGGUUUAUGAUAUCCAGCGAUGGUCGUCCUGAGAUGGGUGGUGCAUGUGGUUCACUUCUUACAGUGGCUUUCCACAUAUUGGUUUCCAGCCCCACGACUUCAAAGCAGAUGAACAAGGAGUUAGUGGCAACUGUCAAUACUCUAAUCAGUUCCAACGUUGAAAAAAUAAAAGUUGCCCUCAACUGUUCUGGCUUGGAUUAACAUGCCAAGACCAAAACUAGUGUCAUAAGACUAAGAAAUUUAUUUCUGUGACUGUUUUAAGACUCGUUUUGAAAGUUCAUUUGGAUCAUCCGGUAUUUUUAUGGGGAAAGAUUUGUUAUUCAUCCAAAAUUUGUUCAUUUUGUUUAUAUUUUCUUAAGGUUGCUAUUUUUUAUUUAUUUUGCUACUGUAAAACUAGGAAGUUUUUCAUUGUUAACAUUGCGUUUCAUCUCGGGCUGGUUGGGCGUGUUGGAUGGUCAACCCAACCCUAACCCAACUUUCACAAUUCAAGUUUGGGUUAGGUUCAAAUUCAUGUGGUUUUAGUCGGAGUGAGUUUUAAUUAGGUUCGGGUUUAUUAGAGUUUAUGGUUUAGGGUUGGUGCACUGCACAUUAGCAUACACUUUGACAAGGCCUUGUUGGAACUAUAAACUCAUGUAAGACACAAUAUUAAGACAAAGCAAUAAUGGUCACGAGAUGAAUGAAACUAUGUAAGCUAUGUAUAAAUUUGAGGGUAGGAUAAUUCUUUUAACUACUUGAGCUACAAACCCAUAUAAUCGCUAAUUAUGGUUUUUUGAGGGAUCAAUCAUCAGCGUUACGGCCUCGCUAGAAUUCUCAGAGAAAAGUAUAUCCAAAGUACAUAAAACAAAGCAAACAAAUAAGAAAUCGCAAUCAAUAGGACUUUUCCCAUUUGCUUGACAAGCAUAUACUCAACACUACUUAACAUGUAGAUCUAGUUAUAUGGUUGAAGAGACGAACUUACCUUCGAGUAACCGUCAUGCAUGUGUUCAAUCAUACAUACAGAUGGAAGCCUCCAAGGUCGGGAUUGCUAUGCAAACUCUCUUUUACGAAGUUAUAUGAAAAAUCCGUGGUCACCGAUCUUGAAGUAGCACUUUGAGUUAUCAACCCUAGUAAACAUAGAUCAUGCUUACAUAAUUAAGCUGAAACAUGAGUAAAAGUAUGAUUAGGAUCAUAGUUACACUUAUUCUACAUUUAUCCUUAAAAAUCUCUUGAAGGACAUAACUAAUAUCUGGAAUCCUAAUUCAUAACAGUGAGUGGGACCCCAUUUAAAAUUUAUAUACAAAUAGUAUAACCGAUGAUCAAUUCAAAGAUCAACACUUGCACAACCAAUUCAUAAGAGAAAUGCAACCAAUUUAUAAGAGAGAUGCCCAAUAGAGUUCCACUUUUGUGUGAAAAUCCAAUUGUUCCAAAAUCUCCAUUAAAAAAACUAUUUUUCAUUGCCUUAGUAAAGGAUUUAAUCUUAAUUUUGACCCAAAAAAGAAAAAGAAUUUAAUCUCUAUUUCUUUAGAAAUUUUCGAAUCGAAAUGGAUAAAAAUAGAUGCAAAACAAAAAAUAAUCAUAUAUUUACCCAUUCAAACUGCCAAUUAAUAUUCUUUCAUUUUUCAACGCGGCAUAUAAACAAAUACCAAAUCAAAUCAUGAAAAAAAACAUAAUAGAUAUGAUUUAAUCAAAUUCAUAACAACACUAAAUCAACAUCGUAGAAAUCAUGAAAGUUUUAACCACGACUCUAAAACCACAUAUAAAGCGGAAAUUCGAGAUCUCGAGUUUUUUAAUUUUCCCAACAAUACAAGUGGAAAUCAAUUGAAUAUAAAACAGACACACCUCGAUCCAUGAUAAAAAAUAAAAAAAAAACUCAAUGGAGAUGAAGAUUUGAAGAGAAAUAUUUUUGCUCUUCAGCGGCGGUCAUAGAUAUGUUUUCCUCUCUUUGCUUUCAAAGUCCAAUAUUUAUAGGCAAAGGAAUUACUAGUUCCUAGUAACCCUAAUCAUGAUGUGAUGUUAUAUUUGGGCCUCCCAAUGGGCCUCACUUAGUCUAUAGAUACAUUUAAAGUGAGAGGCUUGUCUUUGGCCUGUAAAAAUGCAACUUCCACAUUUAGGAUCACGCUCCAAUUCAACCCUAAUUUUUCUUCACUAUCAACUUUACUCUCUCAAAGAUAGUCAUGUCUCUUGUACAGUAAAAUCAAUCCGUUAUAUAAUGGAACCGAAACUACACCAAUGUGAAAUCCAACUUUGAAUGACUAUGCUACAUCAUUGUGUCUUUGUGUGUUUAUGUCACUACAAGAAAACAUGGCUUAGGUGGCGACAGACAUUCGUCACAUAAACAAGAAAAUUCAUCACAUUUGACUAUAUGUGACGAAAUUCUAGCAUCACAAUUUUCGUCACAUAUACAUAGUCAUCUAUAGUCCGUGUGACGAAUUUUAAAUUUGCCACAUAUUUUUAGUAUGCGUGAUGCCACUUGUGUCACUUAGUGCCAAUAUGUGUGACAUAGUAUGCGUCAUGCAACAUUAUGUGACCUAUGUUUGCGUCUUGUAUCAAAUUUAUAUGUGAUGCUUUUGUCAUCACCCAAUAUGAUGCCAUAAUGAUUUAGUUGCACUUAGCGACGCUGAAAUCGUCACAUAUUCCUUUGCUAUGUGGCACAACUUAAGUCACAUAUGUUUAAAACAAAUGCCUAUUUAGGAAUAAUAUUGACAAAUUAAUUGUUUUUUUCCUGCUUCGUAAUCUAGAAUUGCAGUUCAUAACAA
Molecule: long non-coding RNA, 4757 nt
Filed under: Malus domestica (apple)
Lineage: Eukaryota; Viridiplantae; Streptophyta; Magnoliopsida; Rosales; Rosaceae
Description: long non-coding RNA (MDOM_LNC008788)
Source: RNAcentral